Molecule: ribosomal RNA, 461 nt
Filed under: uncultured bacterium
Lineage: Bacteria
Description: bacterial SSU rRNA
Rfam family: Bacterial small subunit ribosomal RNA
Source: RNAcentral
GACGAACGCUGGCGGCGCGCCUAACACAUGCAAGUCGAACGAGAGAGAGGAAGCUUGCUUCCUCGAUCGAGUGGCGAACGGGUGAGUAACGCGUGAGGAACCUGCCUCAAAGAGGGGGACAACAGUUGGAAACGACUGCUAAUACCGCAUAAGCCCACGACCCGGCAUCGGGAAGAGGGAAAAGGAGCAAUCCGCUUUGAGAUGGCCUCGCGUCCGAUUAGCUAGUUGGUGAGGUAACGGCCCACCAAGGCGACGAUCGGUAGCCGGACUGAGAGGUUGAACGGCCACAUUGGGACUGAGACACGGCCCAGACUCCUACGGGAGGCAGCAGUGGGGAAUAUUGCACAAUGGGGGAAACCCUGAUGCAGCGACGCCGCGUGGAGGAAGAAGGUCUUCGGAUUGUAAACUCCUGUUGUUGAGGAAGAUAAUGACGGUACUCAACAAGGAAGGACGGCAACUAC